Molecule: ribosomal RNA, 422 nt
Filed under: uncultured bacterium
Lineage: Bacteria
Description: partial 16S ribosomal RNA
Rfam family: Bacterial small subunit ribosomal RNA
Source: RNAcentral
AAUCUUCCGCAAUGGACGAAAGCCUGACGGAGCAACGCCGCGUGAGUGAUGAAGGUUUUCGGAUCGUAAAACUCUGUUGUUAGGGAAGAACAAGUACCGGAGUCACUGCCGGUACCUUGACGGUACCUGACGAGAAAGCCACGGCUAACUACGUUCCAGCAGCCGCGGUAAUACGUAGGUGGCAAGCGUUGUCAGGAUUUAUUGGGCGUAAAGCGCGCGCAGGCGGUCUUUUAAGUCUGAUAUGAAAUCUUACAGCUUAACUGUAAGCGGUCAUUGGAAACUGGGAGACUUGAGUGCAGAAGAGGAGAGUGGAAUUCCAUGUGUAGCGGUGAAAUUCGCAGAUAUUCGGAAGAACACCAGUGGCGAAGGCGACAUACUGGCUCAUUACUGACGCUGAGGCGCGAAAGCGUGGGGAGCAAACA